RNAcentral lists this long non-coding RNA (786 nucleotides) under Bos taurus (domestic cattle). RNAcentral's name for it is "long non-coding RNA NONBTAT010609". Lineage: Eukaryota; Metazoa; Chordata; Mammalia; Artiodactyla; Bovidae. The record is from RNAcentral.
UUAAUUGCAACUGGACUUUUAUUGUACAGUUAGGAAAAGUGUUUUCACAAAAAUAAUUGGAAAAAAUAUACCAUUUCAUAGGUAAGUCUUACAGUGAAGAGAAUUUGCUAACAAAUGUCAUUUCAAGAUGUAGGGAGUAUGUUUGAGCUCGUGUCCACUGCUGCAGGGAAGACAUGUCCAGUUUGGUCACAAAGAUACAGGAUGAGGGAAUUAUGAUUAAGCAAGCCAUUUAUUUGUUAGAACUUUGUUUUUAAAUUACUGUUCAUUGAUAUUAUAAUUUGUCUUUUAACUUCUGAUUUCUAAAAAUAUUUAAUUACAAAAGUAUAGUUCCCCUAUCUCAUAAAAUGCCAAUGAUACCGAGUGGGCUAUACACGUGUCAUGCUACUUGAUUCAUUCAGCAUGUCUCUCUUUAAUACUAAUAAGGCAGUUUGACACAAACGAUUCCUUUGGGACUAAGAUCACAUUUAUCCCCUUCAAAAUUGUGCUUUAAGUGCUAAUAACCAUAGGUGGUUUGCAAAGAACUGAUAAGGCAACAAAGUGGAGAGGUCUCGGAUCAAAGGCCUGGGCAUAAAAGGUGGUGACUAGCACUGAAGAGAGGCUGCAUGGGGAAGGGAGCGGUGAGAGUGCGUCUGUGGGUGUGUGGGCUUUAAGUGAGGAACUGGUGCCUCUUCUCCGCUCAUCUGCUGCUUCUACAGCUGCCCCUGCAGGUACUCUGUCAUCUGCUGGCAUUCAUCUCCCCCUCCACCGGGUGUUUUUGAGGUAAAAGAUUGAAUGGUUUUGCACGUG